Long non-coding RNA from Carica papaya (papaya), 2326 nucleotides. RefSeq lists it as uncharacterized. The record is from RefSeq and is a predicted model, not a curated record. Lineage: Eukaryota; Viridiplantae; Streptophyta; Magnoliopsida; Brassicales; Caricaceae.
UCUCAUGAUCACUCAUCUCUCUCUCUCUCUCUCUCUCUCUCUCUCACGCACAUCCCCCUUGAAGAUAGGCGAGAGUCUAGGGGGAUAAAGAGAUAAGAGAGAGUAGAGAAACACCCACUUUGAAGAUUUGAAGAUGAUGUGCAAAGGAAGCUUCUUUUUUGAGGGGAAUGUUGUCUGGCUCGAGGACAUUUAAUUCUAUGCAUCCAUCCAUCCAUCCAUUUACAUCUCCAGAUCUGGACUACUUGGAUUAAUUUUGAGUUAGUGUCGUCGGACCAGGCUUCAUUCCCCCCAAUUUCUGCUUCCUCAAGCUUUCUCACCGUCGUGGACUAUACCCUCAUGUCAAGAUCUAGCUUUGAACUUUGGUGAACAUUCUUUUUCUCUUUUCUCUCUUCUCUCUCUCUCUCUAUCUCUCUCUCUCUCUCUCUCUCUCUCUCUCUCUCUCUCUCACUCUCUCCCUCUCCGAUCUCCCUCUGAUCUUCAUCUUCUAGGGUUUGAUGAUGCUGAUUUUCAGCUCUCUCUAAAUGAAUCCAUUUGAAGCAAGCAAGCUAGCAUAAACCGUCUUGAAGAUUUACAAGCAAGAAUAUGUUUCCCUUUCUGCCCUUACAUGAAGAGUAACAUUAAAUGAUUUCUUUUUGCCAGAAACCUUUUUCAGAAAUAAAUUAACAAAAUAAAUCUAAAAUUGCUCUGAUAUUCUUGCUAUAAUUUUAUAUCCAUGUUUCUUCCGGUAAUAAUGAGUUUCUUUGUGGGGAUGUUCUGCAAAAUCCGUUCUUACAGAUGUCGUUUACUUUUCUUACCCAGCCUUGUUAUCACCCAUCUUAAAGCGACUGUUUGGCUUGUAUCAAAUUUCUGGUAAACUUGCUUUGCUCGGUAACGGAGACGAGCAGCUUAAUUUCAUCUGAGUAUUUGGUUUACACAUUCGUUUGAAAUUGCUCCAUAUAUCAUUUGUUGGCCCGUUCAUCUUUCAUGGCAUAGCAAAUAUCUAUAUACAAUACGAUAAUUUUCAGUCUCUCUUUCAGUUUUAAGUAAUCAUUCAUACUUGAAAACUUGAGAACAGUAGAGUCGCAAGCCUCUGCUAAGACUCAUACGGACGUAUGUGAAUGUUGGUGAGGAUGUUUAACGGGAACCCAUUUACGUAAUCUUAAUUUACUUCAUCCUUUUUAAACUCUGAUUUGUUUUAGUAAUUUAGUGUUCCGGGCAGGUUAACAAUCAAUGAAAUUGGUAAUUAAUUCUCUGUUCUUACUUAGAACAAAAUAUUAAGAUCUUCUUGUUUUUUCUUGGGGAUACCUAAGUACUAAUAAUAUUUAGUUGCGAAGGGGGUCAUUAUCAAUCUGUACCAUGUAACCAUAAAAGAUGAAGAAUUUGAGUCUCCUCACUGAUAUACCCAGCUGGAAUUUGCAUAGGUUGGUGAAGUUGCAUGCUCUAACAGGUAAAGUUUCAUUGAAGUAGUCAGGUGUUUCCUAUGUAGCAGAUAUUCUUAAUUGUCAAUAUAAUAAAAGAAAUUAUAGAAUAAAUGGAGAUGCAGAUACUAAUCAUCUCAUAUAUUUCUAUCUCAUCAUACUUUUUCUUUGCACUUUUCUUGAUUAGAUCUCAUGGGAGUUGCCGAAGAAGAAAACUUGUAGAAAGAAGAAAUAAAAAAGUUAGUUGAUUAGAGAGAUUGGCAGAAGAGUUUUCUAGUUCCUCGGAGUAGUAAAGCUCUUAUAAUAAGCUUCUUUCUUUCCUUCUCAAGACACAUUUCAAUAUUUAAUCUUUUGCCCAAAAUGUCAGGAGAAAAGUAAGACAUAGAUACAUCUAGUAUUGCGUGCCUAGCUAUAUUCAUGCUACUGGCUAUCACCCUUAACUAUAAUGUGAUCUUCGAAACUCAGCAAGUUCUUCUACGAAUACAUGAGAGAUUGUGUUCUUUGAGAUCUUCUCAAUUAGUCAAAUAUGGAAAUGUACAUAAAAUAUUUCAUUUUAUUACGUUGGUCAUUAAUUUGAGACAUCUUUUUUACUUCUUAACUUCCAAAUAAGUCACCAUGACAAAAUCUGAAUGGUACAAAUUUUCACUUGGACUCUCUACCCACAACUCUGACCAAAUCACAUAAAGGAUAUCAAAAGCUGGGACUGGAAUCUUGAAAAACGUCACUUCUUUUUCCCCUUCAUAUUAUUAGUUAUUACUUGUAAGAUGUGAAUUGUACCCUGGAGGGGUAAUCUUGCUCGUUUAUACUUUGAAUGUACGUAGUGGGUAGUGUUAUAUAUAUAGUUACAUAUGCAUAUCGUGUUGUCCGGUUUCGCAUCUAAAAGUGAUUCGCGUUGAAAAGAAAGACUAUAAGAGCAACCUUUUGGGAAA